UACAGAGGGUGCGAGCGUUGUCCGGAAUCACUGGGCGUAAAGGGCGCGUAGGCGGCCAGCGCAAGUCAGUUGUGAAAUCUCCGGGCUUAACUCGGAAAGGUCAACUGAUACUGCGCGGCUAGAGUGCAGAAGGGGCAACUGGAAUUCUCGGUGUAGCGGUGAAAUGCGUAGAUAUCGAGAGGAACACCUGCGGCGAAGGCGGGUUGCUGGGCUGACACUGACGCUGAUGCGCGAAAGCCAGGGGAGCGAACGGG
Molecule: ribosomal RNA, 254 nt
Filed under: uncultured bacterium
Lineage: Bacteria
Description: partial 16S ribosomal RNA
Rfam family: Bacterial small subunit ribosomal RNA
Source: RNAcentral